Molecule: long non-coding RNA, 392 nt
Filed under: Androctonus crassicauda
Lineage: Eukaryota; Metazoa; Arthropoda; Arachnida; Scorpiones; Buthidae
Source: RNAcentral
GCCCUCUUUUCUAGGAUCCUUACGCAUACUACUAAGUGGUCUGAUAAAGAAUAUGAGCGCAACUUUGUCUUCAAUAUUGGUUAUAAGCAUGGAUACAAUUUCAAAUACAUGAGCCGCAUAUGGACUAAAACCCUUAACUGCUUCUCCCAUGUUCGAACUCCGAACCCCGCCCCUAAUUCGAUCGACCGGCGUAUAUUUGUUACGUUACAGUAUGAUACAUGUGUGCACCGUACUCUUACCAAAGCCCUAAGACAUACUAGCUCUAGGAUACUUAAUAAACGGGGCCCCACUGUUUUUCAAUCAAUUCGAAAUGAUAAAGAUCAUAUACCCCCUAGUAAGGGACCGGGUAUAUAUACUGUCCCUAUGUGCAGUAGUGAUGGGUGCUCUGGUGG